RNA transcript from Lathyrus oleraceus (garden pea), 2390 nucleotides. It is a transcript of the gene named L10-interacting MYB domain-containing protein, with no coding region annotated. Lineage: Eukaryota; Viridiplantae; Streptophyta; Magnoliopsida; Fabales; Fabaceae. The record is from RefSeq and is a predicted model, not a curated record. The transcript has 4 exons.
GUAAGGAAAUUAUAUUUUGGGAUGUUGUUUUACAGUAGAAUAAAACAAUUCUGUUCAAUGCUACUAUCAUUCUACUAUCAUAGCAAUUCUUGGUUGUAAGGAAUUUUUUGUAUUAAUUAGUUCUAAACAGGUUUGAGAUUUUGAAAAAGCAUGAAGAAUAAUAGCUAUCGUCCGUAUUUUGCUGCGCCAGACUCCUCCUCGACCAGGCCUGCCUCUUCCUCGAUUGCACCUACUUCUAUUGGGGCACCUGCCAUUGCUGCACAGAUGGCAACUAAUGUUGACAUUAGUGACUCAAAGCUUUGGCCUGAUUUUGUAACUAAAGCUUUCAUUGACAUUAUGGUUGAUGAAGUUACAAAAGGAAAUAUGCCAAAUGGUGUGUUUCAUAAUAGAACAUGGACCUCAAUGACUACUAAGUUGAGUUCCAUAACUAAUCGAUCAUUUAAAGCCGGACAACUAAAGGCAAAAAUGCAUAGGUUGCGGGCCAUGUAUCGUGAGUUCUAUUCACUCUUGCAAAAUACCGGAUUUGGGUGGAAUGCAGAAACAAACACAGUUACUGCAAGUGAAGAGGUCUGGAGAAAUUAUCUUAAGGUACAUGAUAAAGCUUCUCAAUUUCAAAAGAAAGGGUGUGAUCAUUAUAAGUUGUUGGAAAUCAUAUUCAACAAAAAUAAUGCAACUGGAGUACUUCAUCAUUCAUCUACUCAAGACCCUCCAAAUACAGAUGAAGAAAAUGAGCUUGACAAUCAAUACCUUAACAAUGGGAGUGCGAGUCAUGUACGUGUUAAUGGUGAUAGUUCAGACGAUGAUCUACAUGAAGUUGAGCACAUCACACGUAGUGGAAAGAGACAAGUUCAAGUAUGAUCCAAUAAAGAGUCUACAUCACAUAUGAUGGGAGAGGCACUUUCGGCAUGGGCUAAAGCAUCUUUGGCAAAAGCUGAGAGGUAUAGGGAUAGGAGUGUGGAGGCUACUUCACGUGUAACAUCAGACUGCUCUCUUACUAAGUGUGUGACUGUUCUGGAUGAGAUGGAAGACAUUCCACAUGAUGCAUAUGGAAAAGCUUUGGAAAAGUUUAUGAAUCCUGAUUGGAGAGAAGUGUUCAUCGCCAUGUCUGUUGAGAGGAAACGUGGAUGGGUACUUAGACUUUAAGGAUAAAGUCUUACUUAAACUUAUGGUUCUAACCAGAAUUGAUAUUGAUGAAAGUGAUGAUUCUACUUCUGAUGCAAGUGAUGAUGAAUUCGCAGAAUUUCUCUUUAAUAGUAUGAUUUAUAAUUAUCAUCAGAAAUACUUUAACAAAGCAAAGGUGUUGACAUCUUCGUUGACUGGUCGUGAGUUUGUUGCUGAAGUAUUAAAUGGAUCUGGAACAAGUUAUUUUGAUUUAUUUCGAAUGAAGAAAGAAUGUUUUAUUAAUUUCUGUAAUGAAUUGAGGGAGAAGAACUACUUAUGUGACUCAAGAGAUGUGCUUGUUGAAGAGAAGGUUGCUACAUUUUUAUUCAUAAUUGGUCAUAAUGUUCGUCAUAGAGUUGCUUCAAUCCGCUUUCAACAUUCCACUGAAACAAUAUCACGCAAUUUUAAGGAGGUAUUAAGGGCAGUUUGUCGAUUUGGAAAGGAACUAAUAAAGCAAGAGUCCAAAGAGUUUCCUGAAAGAAUUAAAAAUAAUUCAAAAUACUAUCAUUGGUUUAAGGUAUGCACAUAAUUCAUAUUCUUCUAUUGUAGUUGUAUAUUUAUUUCAACAUAAUUUGAUUAUGGUUUACUUAUUCCUAUUAUUUGGGUUAUGUCUUAAAGAAUUGCAUAGGUGCGAUUGACGGUACACAUAUCAGUGCAUCGGUUCCUGCAGAAAAACAAAUUUCAUGUAGAGAUAGAAAGGCAACAAUCACACAAAAUGUCAUGUGUGCUUGUGAUUUUAACAUGAUGUUUACGUAUGUAUAUUCGGGAUGGGAAGGAAGUGCACAUGAUUCAAAGAUUCUUUUGGAUGCAAUUACAAAUCAAAAUGCUGAAUUUCCUUGGCCACCUAGAGAUAAGUCAUGGUAUCAACAUAAAAUUAUGUUCAAUGAAAUUAACAAAGUUGAACUAACAUAUAUUUUAUUUGAUGAAGGUUCCUUUUAUCUCGUUGAUUCUGGGUAUCCAUGUAUUGGAGGUUUUCUUCCCCCUUAUAGGGGUGAAAGGUAUCACGCACAAGAAUAUAGAGGUCAAGGUAGACAACCCAGAAGUCCAGAAGAGUUAUUUAACUACAGACACUCGUCUCUAAGGAUGACAAUUGAGCGUUGUUUUGGGGUGCUGAAAAAUAGAUUUCCUAUUUUAAAGUUGAUGCCUCCUUAUAAGCCUUCUAGGCAACGACUCAUAGUUAUUGCGUGUUGUGCUAUUCACAAUUAUAUACGCAAGUGGAAUUUACCGGA